Brassica rapa (field mustard) is the source of this 544-nucleotide long non-coding RNA. RefSeq lists it as uncharacterized. NCBI's taxonomy places the organism in Eukaryota, Viridiplantae, Streptophyta, Magnoliopsida, Brassicales, Brassicaceae. The record is from RefSeq and is a predicted model, not a curated record.
AUAAAUUAAUGUCUUCGCUCUAAGGUUAUCAGAAGACAGAUCUACUGAUAACUUUCAUCUUUUGGUAUAAAGGUUCGAGUUUCUUGAUUGAAGUUUGCUUGAGUUUUUAGGAUUAGGUUCUUCUAAGCUACAUUCUUUGUUUUGAUUUUUCAUAGACCAACUAAAACACAAGUAGCCUCACCUCAGAUAAAUGUCUUCACCUCACCUAAUCAUCAAGAAAUGUGAUACCAAAAAUAAUAACAGAGCAUAUGGUAAAUGAUAAACCCAUGUUGGUGCUAAGAUGUUCUUUACCAAAAUGAUUUCAUUUGUUUUUCUCCUCUCUCUCUCUCUCCCUGUGUUCCCCUUCUCAGGAGAGCUUUAAGGCUCUGAGAACUCUUUCUCUUUUAGAAAUAUUAUUUGCAUUUCCUGAUCUGAACACAUUAUGGGAAGGCUCACCAUGCAUUUUGGGGCACUCAAAGGCAUAACAAGGCUACAAGCACUUACUCUCGUGGUCACACCUAGUUAGGAGACAAGCUAUUGCAAUUCUGACGUUGGAGUUCAAGUU